GUUACAGGUCCUAUGAGAAGGGAACUUCUUGGUUCCUGUUCUUGCUGAGGCUGAGGCUUCAACUGCUAAACCACCCCAGAGGUACACGAUGGGUCUAACCAAGGGGUCACCCUGGCAGCCUGUGUGCAAAGCAGAACUUACUUGUCAUGACGGAUGAUGAUGGAUGGUCCCUGAGCUCAGUCAUGCUCCUCAUGGAACAGGACACAUUGUAAAAAUGCAUCUCAGAAAACAUCUUUCUUCAAAAAGCAGCUUUGAACCCUAGAACACAUUUAGCAUGGUCUGAGGCAUCACCAGAAAUAGCAGCAGUGGGUCCUGGAAGCUGUGGCUGUCAUUCGAAUGGGACAUAAACACGGGCGGAAGCAGGGAUGAGGCGGCCGGUUAUGCUUCAUCCCUUCCAGCCCCCCCUUACGCACACAGGAAGUCACAGCCAGGACUGUCAUCUCUUCGGACAAAGGAUGAUGAUGUAAAAAGAGCCCGAAAUGUAAAGAUGGCAAAUACUCACCCUUACGUCAUGGAAACUGCCUGCCUGACCCUUAAUCAUGUUCAUUCUUUUGAACCUGAACAUCUCAUUCUGUAAU
This is a long non-coding RNA of Mustela lutreola (European mink), 578 nucleotides long. RefSeq lists it as uncharacterized. NCBI's taxonomy places the organism in Eukaryota, Metazoa, Chordata, Mammalia, Carnivora, Mustelidae. The transcript has 3 exons. The record is from RefSeq and is a predicted model, not a curated record.